Long non-coding RNA from Amblyraja radiata (thorny skate), 1039 nucleotides. RefSeq lists it as uncharacterized. The transcript is spliced from 4 exons. The record is from RefSeq and is a predicted model, not a curated record. NCBI's taxonomy places the organism in Eukaryota, Metazoa, Chordata, Chondrichthyes, Rajiformes, Rajidae.
CGCCGUGGGCGGCGCCUCCUCCACCAGGGAGCCCUCCAUCAGGGAGCCGCUCCCGCCACCUCCACCAGGGAGCCCUCCAUCAGGGAGCCGCUCCCGGCACCUCCACCAGGGAGCCCUCCAUCAGGGAGCCGCUCCCGGCACCUCCACCAGGGAGCCCUCCACCAGAGAGCCGCUCCCAGGACCGGCGCUCUCGAUCCUGUGAGGAAGCGUCUGGACCAGACAGAUGGCAAUGGCAGCUGAGCAACUUGUAGGUAGCACCGGGGAGACGCCUAGUAUAGAACUAUGUUGGAGGACUGCGUGGUCAACCCUCCCACAGUUUAACGAGAGAUUGAAGAGCGUCUUAAAUCUCCCAAUCCCGAAGAACAAUGAAGAACGUCUUCCACCCCAAGCCCUUCCUUGUCGCUUUCCCCAACGCAUGUCGGGUGACAUGGACGUCUGCACGGUAGGGCGGCGGAAACCCCUCCAGCUUCUCCACUUCAGCCGCAAAUACUACCUGAGCUGCUGAGAAUUUCCUGCUAUUUCUGCCUUAUUUCAGACAGCUAGCAGUAUUUUGAAUUUUGGAUGAGGGAUUUCAGGAGUCUGUUUGAUUGAUGUGAAGGGAAUUAAAAUUCGAUUACAAGAUAUUCACUUGAAGUCUGGGCUGAACGACAAAAGAGUAAAAAAUUAAAGUUGUACACAUCUCUAGUCAAACCACAUCUGAAGUAAUAAGUUAUUUUUGAGCAGCAUGUCUGAGGAAGAAUACAUUAGCUUUGGAGAGGUGAAAUGCAGAUUCACCUGAAUGACAUGGAAGCCUAACAUCGAGGAGCUGGUGGCCUUUGCUGAAGACCGACUUUGGGAGCUCCAACCACGGGAGCCUGCGGAUUUAACAUCGUGGGUCUCGCGAUCCCUGGUUAGAGACUGAUUUCAGGAGCUCCAAGCCGCAGGAGCUACGAACGCCCCAACAUGGGGGCUUCAAUCGCUGGCCUCGGGAGCUUCGAUCUCCCCGACUGCGGAUGGUUCGACUACCCCGACAGCGGGAGAAUAAAGAGGAAGAAGGUUG